CAGACAGCCAGGUUCAUAAGGGAUAUAAGGAAGUUUUUUCCAAAAAAGGAGCCACAUUCAGCCUGACUUCACUGCCUGCACUCCAGACCUUUGGCCAGCUGAAGACAUUUGGAGCAUCAUGAAACCAAAAACAUGACAGAGAAGACCCAGGACUGCUGAGCAGCUAGAAUCCUCUAACAGACAAGAACAGGACGACAUUCCUUUUCCCAAACAGUUUCCUGCUUCCAGAGAAAUAAAAGCUGCAUGCAACUGUGAUGUUUCCUCCUUCCUCUGCUCUGUGGGUGAGAGUUUGUGCUUUGACCAAACCAGUGUUUCCAUCCUGAAGUGCUGCUGAAAGGAUGAACAAUCAUCAGUUACAAUCUUACAAUAGAUUAAAUGUGACAGUCGGGGUGAGUGAUGCGAUCCUCCUACAAGGCAGAUAAAUCCCCGCAGUCUGAGUGUGUGCAGGUCUGGAUCCUGGAGAUCACGCUGGAAGGAUCCAUCUAGUGGAAUCACUGGACUCUCUUCAUGGAGCUCAUGGCUCAGUAAAACAGCUGACAGAGACACGGAGCAUCGUUAAUCACAUGAAACCGGAACUUGUGCGAUUUUACCGCCUUCUACCGAACAUUCAUCUGACUGUUAGGGGCCAAUGACUCUCGAAAACAUUUUAUCAGUAAGUACUGUAUACAGUAUGAUGACAGUAUUUUCCCACAUUUUCUGGAUUCUGUACCACUACUGUGUGUAAAAUGCCAUCAAAAAGUCAAUUAAGUUUUAUUCUUUCUCACCUGUCUUUCUGUCUCCUUUCACUUUUUAAAGUUUGCCAUGUUAGAAAAAUAUUUUGCCCUGCCAUGCUGUUUAUUGAUUUGGUAAAUAAAUAGUUUAUGAAAAUAUCACUAAAUCUGUCAUUUAUUAUUUUAAAUAUUCAGUAAUGAUCAUGUCUCACCUCUAGUCUUCACUGUCUUAAUUUCAGGCUUCUGCCAUGUGUUGUAGAUAGUUCAGGAAGUUAACUUGACCAAGCAGUCUUUGGGUUCCGGCUAAGUACUGUUUAGAAUACCAGAAUACCAACAAGACAGUGUACAUCACCGUCUCAACGACAUUUGUUUUCUGUUGCUUAUUCUGUCUUCACCAACAAUAAAAGACUGCACAUUAAGAACCCCA
This is a long non-coding RNA of Oreochromis aureus, 1137 nucleotides long. The record is from Ensembl. Lineage: Eukaryota; Metazoa; Chordata; Actinopteri; Cichliformes; Cichlidae.